AAACAAGAAGACCCAUUUGCAGAAAUCGUAAAGAAUGCAUUAGUUUUAUUGCGUCAUUAGGUUUCUAGUUUUAUCGAGCCUCCAACUCGUCAGUUUUGGAAGAAGUAGCCAUUAAUUGAAUUGAACCAUCAAUGGCUGAAUUCUAGUUUCUUCGUUUCCAUUUUCUUAUGCUUUAUAGGAACUGAGGAUAUAUUACCAUGCACAGGACCAUCACUUUCACAGGGAAUUUUGAAGAGGGAGAUUAAAUUGGGUACCUUUUUUGGUACAUGUUAGAGAGAUUAAUUUGGGAAUCCUUGUGGCUCUCUCUCUCUCUUUCUUCCUUGUGUCACCUGUUAAUUGUUUUCUCUCUCUCCUUUUUGUUGCCCGUUAUUGCUCUCUCUUUCUCGAGUUAUAGAGAGAGAUUAAUUUGGGAAUCUUUGGG
Molecule: long non-coding RNA, 421 nt
Filed under: Amborella trichopoda
Lineage: Eukaryota; Viridiplantae; Streptophyta; Magnoliopsida; Amborellales; Amborellaceae
Description: long non-coding RNA (ATRI_LNC004968)
Source: RNAcentral